Mugil cephalus (flathead mullet) is the source of this 709-nucleotide long non-coding RNA. RefSeq lists it as uncharacterized. The record is from RefSeq and is a predicted model, not a curated record. NCBI's taxonomy places the organism in Eukaryota, Metazoa, Chordata, Actinopteri, Mugiliformes, Mugilidae. The transcript is spliced from 4 exons.
GCAGCUUUUAAAAAACGUUAGCGAAGCGUCGGGUUAAUGCAGACGGCGUUUGUCUAUAUUUAUUCUUUUAUAUUUAUUAAAGUUGAAUUUAACCAGGUGUAACUGUCUCGGCAGCUGGCCCAACUUUCCCCAUAAAAUAAGCCACGCAGCUAUUGCGAACAUGUAAGCUAACGUUAGCUGGCAAGCAUAAAUUAGCUAAAUUAGUGUACCUGUUUUUCAUUUCACUGUGAGCCGAUAUUAACCUCCGCUCCUCGUUGUUGCUGUUGAGGUUUGGGAAGAGAGACACAGGAGCUGUUCGUGUGGAGACUUAUGCAGUUUCCAUUUUUCUCCCGGAAAAUCAUAAGGACCCUGGGACUUUUCCAUUUCCAGGAAAUGAUUUGGGAUCAUUUUAAGGACAAGGUUUGCUCCAGGCUUGUCAGAAAAGAAGCACGUCUCUCUGUCGGCGAGUCGCGAUGCCAAAUGCAAGAUACUGGCGAGUGUUUGCAAAUGACUGGAAGAGUCAGGAUCUGAAGGCAACCGCUGCAUCCACGGUCACAGAGAGAUUGCAGAUGAGACGCGAACAAAUCCACCAACUAAUGGCUCAAAAAAGCCCAGCCAUCAGAAACAGACACCUUGCUGCUACCGGGUUCGACCACAUUUUGUCUUUUGAAUUGCCUUAAUUCUUAAUUCCAUCAUGUAGUUGCUCCAGAUUUGACCGCUGCACAGUAAU